This 520-nucleotide ribosomal RNA is filed under the name uncultured Glomus. RNAcentral describes it as "SSU rRNA". It matches the Rfam family "Eukaryotic small subunit ribosomal RNA", at positions 569 to 1092 of the family's 1831-position model. The record is from RNAcentral. Lineage: Eukaryota; Fungi; Glomeromycota; Glomeromycetes; Glomerales; Glomeraceae.
AGCAGCCGCGGUAAUUCCAGCUCCAAUAGCGUAUAUUAAAGUUGUUGCAGUUAAAAAGCUCGUAGUUGAAUUUCGGGAUCAAUAUGUCGGUCGUGCCUCGGUACGUACUGGCGUAAUUGGUUUCUCCCUUCUGAAGAACCUCGAUGUCAUUAAUUUGGUGUCGUGGGGAAUCAGGACUGUUACUUUGAAAAAAUUAGAGUGUUUAAAGCAGGCUCGCGCUUGAAUACAUUAGCAUGGAAUAAUGAAAUAGGACGUUUGAUUCUAUUUUGUUGGUUUCUAGGAUCGACGUAAUGAUUAAUAGGGAUAGUUGGGGGCAUUAGUAUUCAAUUGUCAGAGGUGAAAUUCUUGGAUUUAUUGAAGACUAACUACUGCGAAAGCAUUUGCCAAGGAUGUUUUCAUUAAUCAAGAACGAAAGUUAGGGGAUCGAAGACGAUCAGAUACCGUCGUAGUCUUAACCAUAAACUAUGCCGACUAGGGAUCGGAUGAUGUUAAUUUUUAAUGACUCAUUCGGCGCCUUACG